UUGGAUAAAACCAACUCCUAUAAGGAAAAGACAAAAUACCAUAAAGGAAUAGACCAACAGCUAUCCAAUAUCCUAAUAUCCUAACAUAUUGCUCCUCCGUGUACGACGACAUUUGGGUUUCUUGUUUUUAGUUUAAAGUUUUGGUAUUUGUUGGUAUUUUUGGGUUUUUGAGGUUGGUUUUGAUGGUGGGUUGUGUUUGGUUUCUGCAGAAUCUAACAACUGCGGAAGUGCGGCGGUUUCUAGGACUGUUGGAGCGGUGGCGUCGCAGCGGAAAAUCUGGGUGGAUAAGUUUUUGAAUUCAGAGAAUGAGAAAUCUGAUUACGGCUGAAGAGUAAAUUAUUGUCAAGUUUAAGUCUUUGAUUUUAUUCUUAUUUUUUGUGGGAUUAAAUUUUUGUAAGACUAAUCAAAGUUUUAAGUCCUUGGUUAUGGUAACUUGUUGAGUUGAUGAAGAAAAUUGUUGGGUUGCUAAAUUGGGUGGGAUUAAUUUAUCAUUGUCUAAUGAAUUGUGAGGAAAUUAAUUUUGGGGCAUUGAUUUAAACAAAUUGCAUAAUGGGAGUUUAGUGUUCCUGCAUAACUAUGUUUGAAUUAUAAAAGCAAAAGAACAAACUCGAGAGUCUGCUACACGUGGAGUAAGUUUCUUUAUGUUUUGUUAUACUACCACAUUGAACUUCAGAUCAGGGUUCUAUACUGCCACAGUGAAUUCUAGGAUCAUGUUGCAGAGAAAGGUUCUGGUUGGAAGAGUUGUGACAUAAGGUAUUACUAUCUUUCUUAUUUGAAAUGUGUAAAUGAUAUUUCUAUCAUGGCGUACAUGACUAGUUGACUACCUAAGUGUUAUUUGGAGAAGGAGAAUUAAAGAUGGUUCCUUUGCUGGAUGUUGAAUAGAGUUGGUAUGUACUGUAUUUGAUGCUAAAUGAAGUUUCAAUGUUCCUUGACUCUUUGGUCCUUAUAAUUUUAGGUGCUGCGAGAGAUUGCUUACCAGUUACUGUUAGAACCAAUCAAAUGUCAAGUAUAUAAUAUAUAACAAUUUGCACAGUUUAUUUCUAUUGAAAAAUUCAACAACAGAUACAAUAUAUCAAAAUAUAAACACUUAAUGAAAUUGCAUAUAAAAUCACAAAUCACUUACUUGUUCUUUGAAGAUAAAGGCUUGUAGAAGUAAUCUCCUAAGAUAGAAAUUCGUCCCUACACCAGUGCAACAGUUCAAUAGACGUCUAUCUUGCAGGAUACAACUAUCUAACCCAAGUUCUUGCACUCGAACUUGGAUUCUUGGCGAAUUGGUUGUGGUGUUUCUCUGUGAAGUGUGAAAAGGAAGCGAUGGAAUUGUUGUAUUGGUUUCUGAUUUGACAGCCAUAUAUAUAAUGGCGCAAUGGAGCAGUUAAAGCCGUUCAUGUUUAUCUUUAAGAACGGUUGUAACUGUUCACAUGAUCAGUUUUAUCCUUUCGGAAAAAACUGAUUGCAAAAAUAAAAAACGUAAAAAUGAUACUUGGGUUUUUUGUCCAUCUGAGCCCCAAGGCCCAAGGUCCAUCUUUGACAUUUAAUAUAUACACCCAAACCCUCCAAGUUUAAGGCCCAAGGUCCAUGGCUUUGGCCCAAUUCUUUUUAAACUAUAAGUGAGUGAACUCACUUAUAAAGGUGACUUUAAAAAAGGUUUUGGGCGAUGUGGGAUUGGGAGUCCCCCACAAGUUCCAACAAUACUCCACAUUUUCUAUUCAAACUCUAGCAAUACCCCAUAUUUGAAUAGAAAAUAAGAUUCUAACUAAAUUAGUAACGUCUAUCUAGAGAACUUAGAUAUGAUACGCAUCGGGAUAGGUGUCUUUUGGAGUUGAACCUUCUUUAGUGAGUACUUAUUGGAUUUACCUAAUGAAACAGUGAAUUUAAUAUCUUGAACUGAUCAUUCUUAGUAGUAAAUCGAAACAAUAAGUAUCACAUAUAUCACAUCGUGACACACUUCAAUUCAUACGGUUGUUUUCAUUUUGGUCCUGAACAUAUCCUGAUUUCAUGAGACCUUUAGAGAAUUGUAGUCAUACCAAUUCUCAAAGAUGCGACCCUACAUCAAUCUUGUUGAUGCACAAAAUCAGUGGGGACUUUGGUAUAAUAGAAAGUGUUAAGUUUGUGACAUUCGCUAG
RNAcentral lists this long non-coding RNA (2123 nucleotides) under Malus domestica (apple). RNAcentral's name for it is "long non-coding RNA (MDOM_LNC000761)". The record is from RNAcentral. Lineage: Eukaryota; Viridiplantae; Streptophyta; Magnoliopsida; Rosales; Rosaceae.